UAAAUUACAUUUUUGCAACAGAAAAAUGUUCUCCCAGGACAAGGCUUUCCCAUUGCACUUUGGGUGUGCUGACACCUGUGAAGUCCCCAGAUGUGGGAGACUCAACAGUGAAAAGUUGUGGUGGGGCGGGGAGGCAGGACAGCAUUUGUGCUGGCCUCUG
Molecule: small nuclear RNA, 160 nt
Organism: Carcharodon carcharias (great white shark)
Lineage: Eukaryota; Metazoa; Chordata; Chondrichthyes; Lamniformes; Lamnidae
Product: U1 spliceosomal RNA
Exons: 1
Source: RefSeq, a predicted model, not a curated record